Molecule: ribosomal RNA, 534 nt
Filed under: Triticum aestivum (bread wheat)
Lineage: Eukaryota; Viridiplantae; Streptophyta; Magnoliopsida; Poales; Poaceae
Description: partial small subunit ribosomal RNA
Source: RNAcentral
AUGGGCUCUGCGCACACCCAGGCUCAAUCCUCUCCCGAGAGACGCGUGAGACGGGCUUUGGCGGAGGCAAACCUGUCUGGACCCGGGCUCGUGGCGGCGAUCGCCUCCAGGGUCUCAGAGCUCCACAUGGACGAGCAGCGGGGUUUCAUCAGUACAGUUGUGACGCUGCUGUCAUCCUCGAUCCUGGGCACCCCGCCACCACCAGCCCCUGCAUCGCGGCCUCUCCGGCAGCGCCUGCUCGGUGUGGUGAAAGCACCCCGGCAAAGUGCUAGGCUGCUGCGUCUACGCUCCAACCUAUCCUCCUCGAGACGCUCGCAGGCGGCGAUCAGCGUCAAGCUCGGCUUCAUUAAGCAUGUGCAGGACUUCAACGAUGACACCCUGCUAGAGUACCUGAACUUCUUCCGCAGCCCGAUGCCGCCGGAAAACGUGGCCAAGCUGGCGGAGAUUGCUGGUCUGUCCUCGCCUGCCCAGCUGCGUCUGCCGGACAACGAGCUACAAGCGAUUCUCGAGGAGCUCUCGGCCAGGGCUCCGUAG